This 406-nucleotide ribosomal RNA is filed under the name uncultured bacterium. RNAcentral's name for it is "bacterial SSU rRNA". It matches the Rfam family "Bacterial small subunit ribosomal RNA", at positions 29 to 417 of the family's 1533-position model. The record is from RNAcentral.
AACGAACGCUGGCGGCGUGCCUAACACAUGCAAGUCGUGCGAGAAAGUUCCUUCGGGAGCGAGUAAAGCGGCGCACGGGUGAGUAACACGUAGGUAACCUGCCCCCCAGUCUGGAACAACUAGAGGAAACUCUAGCUAAUGCCGGAUGAGACCACGAUCCCUUCGGGGGUUGCGGCCAAAGAUGGCCUCUACUUGUAAGCUAUCGCUGAGGGAUGGGCCUGCGGGCCAUUAGCUUGUUGGUGAGGUAACGGCUCACCAAGGCUGUGAUGGCUAGCUGGUCUGAGAGGAUGACCAGCCACACUGGGACUGAGACACGGCCCAGACUCCUACGGGAGGCAGCAGUGGGGAAUAUUGCGCAAAUGGGCGAAAGCCUGACGCAGCGACGCCGCGUGGGUGAUGAAGGCCU